This 484-nucleotide ribosomal RNA is filed under the name uncultured bacterium. RNAcentral's name for it is "partial 16S ribosomal RNA". It matches the Rfam family "Bacterial small subunit ribosomal RNA", at positions 30 to 507 of the family's 1533-position model. The record is from RNAcentral.
AUUGAACGCUGGCGGCAUGCCUAACACAUGCAAGUCGAGCGGAUGAAGGGUGCUUUCUCCUGGAUUCAGCGUCGGACGGGUGUGUAAUGCCUAGGAAUCUGCUUGGUAGUGGGGUGUAACGUCCGGAAACGGGCGCUAAUACCGCAUACGUCCUGAGGGUGAAAGUGGGGGGGCGUCGGACCUUACGCUAUGUGAUGAGCCUAGGGCGGACUAGCUAGUUGGUGGGGUGAAGGCCUACCAAGGCGACGAUCCGUAACUGGUCUGAGAGGAUGGUCAGUCACACUGGAACUGAGACACGGUCCAGACUACUACGGGAGGGAGCAGUGGGGAAUAUUGGACAAUGGGCGAAAGCAUGAUCCAGCCAUGCGGCGUGUGUGAAGAAGGUCUUCGGAUUGUAAAGCACUUUAAGUUGGGAGGAAGGGCAGUAAGUUAAUACCUUGCUGUUUUGACGUUACCAACAGAAUAAGCACCGGCUAACUUCGUG